UGUUCAUACGGUUGAUAGCAC
This 21-nucleotide microRNA is filed under the name Brachypodium distachyon (stiff brome). RNAcentral describes it as "bdi-miR5199". The record is from miRBase by way of RNAcentral. Lineage: Eukaryota; Viridiplantae; Streptophyta; Magnoliopsida; Poales; Poaceae.